Peromyscus maniculatus bairdii (prairie deer mouse) is the source of this 879-nucleotide long non-coding RNA. RefSeq lists it as uncharacterized. NCBI's taxonomy places the organism in Eukaryota, Metazoa, Chordata, Mammalia, Rodentia, Cricetidae. The record is from RefSeq and is a predicted model, not a curated record.
ACUGUCAACAAGCCAGUGCAUUGUUAUUCAACAUCGUAAUCAUUAGGGAGAUGUAAAUCACUGGCACAAUGAGGUCCCCUCUCGCGCGCACACACAGUAGAAUCGCUGUUGCUGAAGAAGCCUCAAGCCCUGGCAGGGAUGCAGAGAGACUGGACCCGCGUGCCUCGCUGUAGGAGAUAAGAAGAGAACACAGCCGCUGUGCACAGUGGCAUGGCAGCCUCCCCGGGGGGUUGAAAAUAGAACGCUCAUACGAUCCAGCCACUCCACUCCGGAGUAGAGAGCCAGGACUGGAAGCAAAGAGUCAAAAAGCAGUUGUUCCUCCAUUGACACGCCACUUCGUUCUACACUGUUGGCAUCUGAGGUUGGCUUGAAACAGGACAAGUGCCAGCUGAGAGCCAGAGAGGUCACCGGAGGAGUGGAGAUUCUGGAGCCCCUGAGGUCUCUUCAGUGACCCACCAUGCCGGAAAUACAAUCACUGCACCAUCAGGAAUUCAGUCAGGAGCUCUCAUGCUUCAUAAAAGAUGCUGGUGCUGUGUGUGCAAAUGAGUGCCUCAGAAGAAUCUUCAAUAUGUUACAGACCUUCUGCCACUGACCUCCGCAGCAGCCCUGUGACGCUCACUGGAGAACCUCUGAACCCCUGCCAGGCACCUGGGAAGAGAAGAGUUGAUGAAAAUUAUCUCUAGAGAAACUGUCAGAGGAGCUGCUUUUUCUGUGGUUGAGUGUGGAUUUAGCAUGUUUUGUGAGGUCUUGAGUUGAGUCCCUGUAGAUGAAUUUUUAAACAGUCUUAUUAAACAAGAAACAUAGAACCAAAUACAGGGGUGUGAGCCGUAGAGAUCAGUGUAGCAGGAAUCUUAAAAGUUCUUAUUAAUAAAAAUCAAA